Molecule: long non-coding RNA, 265 nt
Filed under: Hordeum vulgare
Lineage: Eukaryota; Viridiplantae; Streptophyta; Magnoliopsida; Poales; Poaceae
Description: long non-coding RNA (HVUL_LNC014008)
Source: RNAcentral
GUAAACAAAAAGACCCUAGGUGCGGGCACGUAGGGAUGAACAGUGAUAGCUUUAUCCUUUAUAAAGCCUCUCGGUCCUCCCAGUUACAGGUCAUCCUGCGCACUUCCCUUCCGCCGCCUCAUCCAUCUGAUCUCAACGAGGUCAGCUCUCGGUCCUCCCAGUUACAGGUCAUCCUGCGCACUUCCCUUCCGCCGCCUCAUCCAUCUGAUCCCAACGAGGUCAGCUCUUGGUCCUCCCAGUUACAGGUCAUCCUGCGCACUUCCCU